Molecule: long non-coding RNA, 239 nt
Filed under: Malus domestica (apple)
Lineage: Eukaryota; Viridiplantae; Streptophyta; Magnoliopsida; Rosales; Rosaceae
Description: long non-coding RNA (MDOM_LNC009371)
Source: RNAcentral
AAAAUGUGGGAGAGACAACAUAUACAAAUUUUGCUUCCACACUGUUGAGCAAGAGAUUGUGAUGCAAGCCACACCUUGUAGUAGUUGAAGGUUUGGAUGAACCAUAUAAAUUGAAUUUGCUUCGAAGGUCUGAGAAUUGUAGUUGCCCUCCAUUGGUGAAGCUUUUGUUGGCACCAUAAAUUGGUUUUGCUUCACACUGUCUUGAUCAAGAGUGUGAAGCUUUUGAGAAUUGUGGUUGA